Molecule: ribosomal RNA, 253 nt
Filed under: uncultured bacterium
Lineage: Bacteria
Description: partial 16S ribosomal RNA
Rfam family: Bacterial small subunit ribosomal RNA
Source: RNAcentral
UACAGAGGUCUCAAGCGUUGUUCGGAUUCAUUGGGCGUAAAGGGUGCGUAGGCGGCGCCGUAAGUGGGGUGUGAAAUUUCGGAGCUUAACUCCGAAACUGCAUUCCAUACUGCGGUGCUUGAGGACUGGAGAGGAGACUGGAAUUUACGGUGUAGCGGUGAAAUGCGUAGAUAUCGGGAGGAAGACCAGUGGCGAAGGCGGGUCUCUGGACAGUUCCUGACGCUGAGGCGCGAAAGCCAGGGGAGCAAACGGG